GUGAACGCUGGCGGUAGGCCUAACACAUGCAAGUCGAACGGCAGCACAGUAAGAGCUUGCUCUUACGGGUGGCGAGUGGCGGACGGGUGAGGAAUACAUCGGAAUCUACUUUUUCGUGGGGGAUAACGUAGGGAAACUUACGCUAAUACCGCAUACGACCUACGGGUGAAAGCAGGGGAUCUUCGGACCUUGCGCGAUUGAAUGAGCCGAUGUCGGAUUAGCUAGUUGGCGGGGUAAAGGCCCACCAAGGCGACGAUCCGUAGCUGGUCUGAGAGGAUGAUCAGCCACACUGGAACUGAGACACGGUCCAGACUCCUACGGGAGGCAGCAGUGGGGAAUAUUGGACAAUGGGCGCAAGCCUGAUCCAGCCAUACCGCGUGGGUGAAGAAGGCCUUCGGGUUGUAAAGCCCUCUUGUUGGGAAAGAAAAGCAGCAGGUUAAUACCCCGCUGUUCUGACGGUACCCAAAGAAUAAGCACCGGCUAACUUCGUG
Molecule: ribosomal RNA, 491 nt
Filed under: uncultured bacterium
Lineage: Bacteria
Description: partial 16S ribosomal RNA
Rfam family: Bacterial small subunit ribosomal RNA
Source: RNAcentral